RNAcentral lists this long non-coding RNA (1546 nucleotides) under Jatropha curcas. RNAcentral's name for it is "long non-coding RNA (JCUR_LNC002028)". Lineage: Eukaryota; Viridiplantae; Streptophyta; Magnoliopsida; Malpighiales; Euphorbiaceae. The record is from RNAcentral.
AACAAUUAAAUAUUGACAACUAACAACUAGUACAAACCUAGUAUCAGAAAGAAACCUCAACUUUCAAUAUCUCAUGUAUAAUUAAUAAUUUUAUUACGAAAACUUAGUAUAAUCUAAUCCUCCUACAAAGUUGGUUAAAUUUGGCAAAAUGCUCCUCCCUUCUAUCCCAGUGUGUAUGAGUGUAGUCACCCGCUUGAUGAAUAUAUAUAAACUCUACCUGUUAAAAUAUAACAAUUUUGUCAUCAAGAUCUCUGCUUCCCAAUAAAUAAACAUGAACAUUGUGUCUCGGCCAAAAUUCUAUAACAACAAAAUGGCUAUUGCUAAUUAAUAGUUUCAUUUCGACUUCCCCUUCUUUGUCUUUGACGACCCCGUCUUCCCAGACUUCUUAUUAGGUUUGUUCUUCACUUUCAUAGGUUUGCCUUUUGCUUUCAACUUGCUUGGAGUUGUUGAAGAAUUGCCUUGCUGAUUCUUCCAAUUCCUCUCUUUCUUGACUGUAUAUUUUGAAACAGCCUAUUUCCACAAGACAGUUUAGUUUAUACAAGAUAUUCUAUUGUUUUACUCCAGAAAAGCUAAAGCAAUGAUAAAAGUUGACUUCAAAUGCAUACCUUAUCAAUGUUAAGUAUCUCAUGUGAAUUCUGUGAAAUUAUUUUGCUUAGAACCUUGUCAGUUUGCUCCUUCUCUUGUCUGCCAAUUCCUGAACCUUCCACGACUGGUAGAAACUGAAUAAAGACAAAAGGGGUAAAGAAUUAUGGAGCCUUCAAUGGCAGAAAUAAAUGAAAGAGAUUGCAUUUCCAUGGGUAAGUUCAAACCUUGCGAUUCUUUCCUUGCUUUUUGGCAGGCUUUUCUCCUGGCAACUUCUUGUCAAACUUCCCACCACUGGCUGUUGCAGUUGCCGCAUUGGCUCUUAUUUGGUACGUGUAAGUCUAAAGUUCGCAUCUUUGGGGGAUUUAUGUGCUCGGACCUGGGAGAAGGAGAAGCCUCUUAUUAGUCAUCAGCACAAUCUGUUUAUGGAUUAUUCAGUCAUUAACAAUUAAAUAUUGACAACUAACAACUAGUACAAACCUAGUAUCAGAAAGAAACCUCAACUUUCAAUAUCUCAUGUAUAAUUAAUAAUUUUAUUACGAAAACUUAGUAUAAUCUAAUCCUCCUACAAAGUUGGUUAAAUUUGGCAAAAUGCUCCUCCCUUCUAUCCCAGUGUGUAUGAGUGUAGUCACCCGCUUGAUGAAUAUAUAUAAACUCUACCUGUUAAAAUAUAACAAUUUUGUCAUCAAGAUCUCUGCUUCCCAAUAAAUAAACAUGAACAUUGUGUCUCGGCCAAAAUUCUAUAACAACAAAAUGGCUAUUGCUAAUUAAUAGUUUCAUUUCGACUUCCCCUUCUUUGUCUUUGACGACCCCGUCUUCCCAGACUUCUUAUUAGGUUUGUUCUUCACUUUCAUAGGUUUGCCUUUUGCUUUCAACUUGCUUGGAGUUGUUGAAGAAUUGCCUUGCUGAUUCUUCCAAUUCCUCUCUUUCUUGACUGUAUAUUUUGAAACAGCCUAUUUCCACA